AGAUAUUGAGCCACGACCAAGUGCCACAUUCUACCCAAAUGAUGAGAGCAAGGACAGGUUUUUUACUAAAGAUAUUGAGCCACGACCAAGUCUCACAUUCUACCCAAAUGAUGAUACCAAGAACAAGCUUUUUACUAAAGAUAUUGAGCCACGACCAAGUGCCACAUUCUACCCAAAUGAUGAGAGCAAGGACAAGUUUUUUAUUAAAGAUAUUGAGCCACGACCAAGUGCCACAUUCUACCCAAAUGAUGAUACCAAGAACAAGCUUUUUACUAAAGAUAUUGAGCCACGACCAAGUGCCACAUUCUACCCAAAUGAUGAGAGCAAGGACAGGUUUUUUACUAAAGAUAUUGAGCCACGACCAAGUGCCACAUUCUAUCCAAAUGAUGAUACUAAGAACAAGCUUUUUACUAAAGAUAUUGAGCCACGACCAAGUGCCACAUUCUACCCAAAUGAUGAUGCAAACAAAAAGUUUUUUACUAAAGAUAUUGAGCCGCGACCAAGUGUCACAUUCUACCCAAAUAAUGAUAGCAAGAACAAG
This 541-nucleotide long non-coding RNA is filed under the name Cucumis sativus (cucumber). RNAcentral's name for it is "long non-coding RNA (CSAT_LNC002805)". The record is from RNAcentral. Lineage: Eukaryota; Viridiplantae; Streptophyta; Magnoliopsida; Cucurbitales; Cucurbitaceae.